CCCCGGCCGUGCCCGGCCCCGCCCGGGCUUUGCUUUCCCGAGGCUGCGCCGAGGGAAAACUGAACACGGGGCUGGCGAUGUACGCGGGCAGGUCUCCUCGGCUCGUGGUGCCCUAUGCCGUGGCUCAGGAGCCGUAUUGUCUACAGUAUUGUUAGGAAGAACGUUUGCAAGCGUGCAAAAUUGUCAUAGCUUCGUGUUUGGAUUACUUAAAUGUUCAGGAGAGGGUGAGGGGAGAAGCCCCCGUGCUAGAUGCUGUGACGGCACGAUACAAACGCUUGCUGCGUGCCGCGUUAACGGUUUCAGAAGCUGAUUUAAAACAUAAAGGUCAAAUUCUUCCCUCGAUUUCACCUGAGCAGCAAAAGUGAGGCUGUGAAGGUUUUAUCUUAAGUAGCACAGUCAUUACCGUGUGAUCAAGUGAGGAAAGGGCCGAGCAGAUAGCUACGCUGGCGUGCUGAAUGGCUCACCGCAGCACCGUGCACACAGUUUAUUGUUUUCUUAGCAACCGCGACGCGGUGGACAUCUUACAGCCAAAAUAGCCCUGGCUCCAGCUCCCAGAAGAUUACAGCCUGGUCAGUGCGGGAAAAUCCCUGUGACUUGGUGUAGGGACCGUUGCCAUCAGAUUAGUGAAUGCUUAAGGUAAUAAACCAGCUGCUGAAAUAAGGUUAAAGAAGGCAAGGAGAUAGGGAGCUGAUGGAAAGUAAUAAAUGGACGUAGAAAUCAGGUAAAGGAAAGAAGGUCUCUGGGCUGAGCUGAGCAGUUGCAUGGAAAGUAAAAUACUACACAGCAACUGAGAAACAUCUUUUCCUUAUAAUGUCCACUUUGUGAGGCUACUCAACUGCGACAAGAGAAACACAUAACUGCUCUAAAGGGUCUGGCUCCAGGAAAUAGAUGUUUUUUUUCCUAUGAAAGCGAGUGAAUGUUUUCUUAUUUUCAGGAGCUAAUUAUAACUCCAGUCCAUGCUCUUGGGAUGGCUUUGACCCCUUUGCCCUGAUAACUGCAGUUUAAAGUGUGAAUGUGGCAGUUGAAGAUCACGGAGUGCUUGCAGCGCUCUCAGCCUGUCCCUCAGAACAGCACCGAAAUAGCCGCGUCAGUUCCAAUCGUCGGUCUGGUUGUUAGAAGUGUUCAUAGCCACUUUUUGACAAAGUGCACCACAGUACCAAGAAAUUACCCUGUUACAAUAUACUGGGGAAGAGAUGGGCCGUCCGUCCCUGGCUGUAAUGCUAAAUAUCUUGUUACAAUUCCUGUGGGAUGUAUACUCUUCAGUGUGGAUUUCAGAGACCCCUUUCACAAAAUACCUAGAAGUCUGAUGCUGUGAAAAAGCUUCUGAAUUUACACAUUGCAACAGAAGCUGGUUUAAAGAGCGUGCAAAGUAAAUGGCUGGUUGUCCUACUGAGAGAUGCUUCCAUGGAUGUGGCUUCCAUGGCAAAGAAAAGUGUCCUUGCAAUGAAAAUCCCGAAGUAGGAGCAGGCCUGUGGUCCUCUCUGGAAAUAAACAACACACUUGCCAUGCUGAGUCAUGUAGAUCUGUCACCAAAGAAAAGAGCCCUGAGUGAGAGCUGAACUAAUGGCAGGAUUCAGAGACUUGUGAAGAGCACAGCCUUGUCAACUGAAACUUGUGUGUGCUGCAACAACUCGUGAAAAGCACUGAAAUCGAAGAAGCUACUUGCAAAUUAUGCUGCUGCUCUGAUGCAUUUGUACAUCAAGGUGGGAUAGCAGGGUCUCCAACGGUUCAACCAACCAGGAUGUCCUUAUGACUACAGACAGUGCUGUUCCUCUCGCCACAAAGUUAAGCGAUGGAGGUAACCUGCCACAGGAUGCAAAAGCUCCUUACAGGCCAUAGAUAGGGAUCAUUAAAGCUGGAAGAUUUUUGCUGAAAGAGGCAGAACAUCAGCAUUCAGAAAGCACUCAAGCUGAGGGAGCCCCAUACAGAAGGAACUGCGAUCUUCAGCCCAGUAACA
Tympanuchus pallidicinctus (lesser prairie-chicken) is the source of this 1957-nucleotide long non-coding RNA. RefSeq lists it as uncharacterized. The record is from RefSeq and is a predicted model, not a curated record. The transcript has 5 exons. Lineage: Eukaryota; Metazoa; Chordata; Aves; Galliformes; Phasianidae.